Molecule: unclassified non-coding RNA, 373 nt
Filed under: Hevea brasiliensis (rubber tree)
Lineage: Eukaryota; Viridiplantae; Streptophyta; Magnoliopsida; Malpighiales; Euphorbiaceae
Source: RNAcentral
GCCCUAGUAAAGCCACAAAAUCAUCUAUUGAAACAUCUAAACAAUAGAAAGUUCCACUAGUUUGCUCUGAAAAGUUAUAAACAUCAAACAAGAAUUAAAUACUAUAAUAUGAAAACCAGAGCAUUGAUAAUCACCCAGAAAGAGAGUUACUUGACAAAGUUUCUUAAUUCGGAAAUUUGCCAGCCAGCAGAUUCCGUCUAGUUUAGCAAAGCUGAUAUUUAAUUUCAAGGUCGGUUCACAAAUCCAGCACUUUCAAGAACACGAAAUACAGUAACUUUCAGCACAAUAUCCCUUGAUCUUAUCAGCUCAAAGAUACAAACAUCUCCUUCCCCCAAAUUAUUCUCCAAUGUGAAUUCAUACCACCCUUGGCUUA